Molecule: long non-coding RNA, 768 nt
Organism: Hypomesus transpacificus
Lineage: Eukaryota; Metazoa; Chordata; Actinopteri; Osmeriformes; Osmeridae
Exons: 2
Source: RefSeq, a predicted model, not a curated record
GGUUUGUUCCAGAUACCUCUCCGCGGCACAUAACACACCGAGCCUGACGUUGUCCUGUGCGUGUGCGUGUGUGUGUGUGCGCGCAGGGAACAGGAGCUGAAGGUGUUCCACGCACGGAGGAGUCUAGAAGACGCGCUGAUGGCCGACGGGCUGGCUCGGGCAGCGGAAUCCACCAGAGACAUGUAGGACCACACUGCACUGGAGCCUGCCACGGCACCCUUGGCCCCAGGGACAGGUUCCACCAUGCUGAAGAAUCUCCUGCAAGAACAACUGCCAGUCUGCUUAAGAAGUCCUCGACAGAUCCAUGCACAAUGUUAUACCUUACCUAACCAAUAGCUUCAACCAAGGCCUUUUAGACUAAAAUAUAUUUUUUAUGUACAUAUCUAUAUAUAAUUUCAGAACAAUGCUUAUUUUGUGUCCGAAUUUUGAAUUGAGAUACCUUUUGUUUUAUAUAUAUAUAUUUAUAUAUAUAUAUAUAUAUAUAAAAGCAAAAAUAAUGAGCAAUACUAUAUUAACUUGGGAACUUUUAAAGUCAGGUUGCAAUCUGCUGGAUUGGUAUUGCUAACUAUUGUAUUAUUUUUUUUCUUUUUUUUUUCUUUGGUGUUGUUGGUUCUAAGGGAUUCAUUGUUUUCAGGGUUUGUAACAAAUCUUUCAUGAAUUUACAUGAAUGGAAACUGCUUAUUUAAGAGAAGAUUUUAUACCGUGAGAGAAAAUACUUGUACAUUUCUUGCAUUACUUAGAGUAAAUAAAUGAUUAUAUACACAUGCA